RNAcentral lists this ribosomal RNA (468 nucleotides) under uncultured bacterium. RNAcentral's name for it is "partial 16S ribosomal RNA". It matches the Rfam family "Bacterial small subunit ribosomal RNA", at positions 28 to 507 of the family's 1533-position model. The record is from RNAcentral.
GACGAACGCUGGCGGCGUGCUUAACACAUGCAAGUCGAACGGAAAGGCCCUGCUUUUGUGGGGUGCUCGAGUGGCGAACGGGUGAGUAACACGUGAGUAACCUGCCCUUGACUUUGGGAUAACUUCAGGAAACUGGGGCUAAUACCGGAUAGGAGCCCCUGCUGCAUGGUGGGGGUUGGAAAGUUUCGGCGGUUGGGGAUGGACUCGCGGCUUAUCAGCUUGUUGGUGGGGUAGUGGCUUACCAAGGCUUUGACGGGUAGCCGGCAUGAGAGGGUGACUGGCCACAUUGGGACUGAGAUACGGCCCAGACGCCGACGGGAGGCAGCAGUGGGGAAUAUUGCACAAUGGGCGGAAGCCUGAUGCAGCAACGCCGCGGGCGGGAUGACGGCCUUCGGGUUGUAAACCGCUUUCGCCUGUGACGAAGCGUGAGUGACGGUAAUGGGUAAAGAAGCACCGGCUAACUACGUG